RNAcentral lists this ribosomal RNA (497 nucleotides) under uncultured bacterium. Its description in RNAcentral is "partial 16S ribosomal RNA". It matches the Rfam family "Bacterial small subunit ribosomal RNA", at positions 28 to 507 of the family's 1533-position model. The record is from RNAcentral.
GAUGAACGCUGGCGGCGUGCCUAAUACAUGCAAGUCGAGCGAACGGACGAGAAGCUUGCUUCUCUGAUGUUAGCGGCGGACGGGUGAGUAACACGUGGAUAACCUACCUAUAAGACUGGGAUAACUUCGGGAAACCGGAGCUAAUACCGGAUGAUAUUUUGAACCGCAUGGUUCAAAAGUGAAAGACGGCCUUGCUGUCACUUAUAGAUGGAUCCGCGCUGCAUUAGCUAGUUGGUAAGGUAACGGCUUACCAAGGCAACGAUGCAUAGCCGACCUGAGGGGGUGAUCGGCCACACUGGAACUGAGACACGGUCCAGACUCCUACGGGAGGCAGCAGUAGGGAAUCUUCCGCAAUGGGCGAAAGCCUGACGGAGCAACGCCGCGUGAGUGAUGAAGGUCUUCGGAUCGUAAAACUCUGUUAUUAGGGAAGAACAUAUGUGUAAGUAACUGUGCACAUCUUGACGGUACCUAAUCAGAAAGCCACGGCUAACUACGUG